RNAcentral lists this ribosomal RNA (414 nucleotides) under uncultured bacterium. Its description in RNAcentral is "bacterial SSU rRNA". It matches the Rfam family "Bacterial small subunit ribosomal RNA", at positions 355 to 775 of the family's 1533-position model. The record is from RNAcentral.
UCGAGGAUCUUCGGCAAUGGGCGCAAGCCUGACCGAGCGACGCCGCGUGUGCGACGAAGGCCUUCGGGUUGUAAAGCACUGUCGGGGGGGAGAAAGGGGCGCAAGCCCUUGAUCGACCCCCGGAGGAAGCACGGGCUAAGUUCGUGCCAGCAGCCGCGGUAAGACGAACCGUGCGAACGUUGUUCGGAAUCAUUGGGCUUAAAGGGCGCGUAGGCGGGUCGGCAGGUCAGGGGUGAAAUCCCGCGGCUCAACCGCGGAAGUGCCUUUGAAACCGCCGGUCUCGAGGGAGGCAGGGGAGCGCGGAACUUCCGGUGGAGCGGUGAAAUGCGUAGAUAUCGGAAGGAACACCGGUGGCGAAAGCGGCGCUCUGGCCCUCUUCUGACGCUGAGGCGCGAAAGCCAGGGGAGCAAACGG